This 222-nucleotide ribosomal RNA is filed under the name uncultured bacterium. Its description in RNAcentral is "partial 16S ribosomal RNA". It matches the Rfam family "Bacterial small subunit ribosomal RNA", at positions 57 to 305 of the family's 1533-position model. The record is from RNAcentral.
GCAAGUCGAGCGCUGCCCUUCGGGGAGGAGCGGCGGACGGGUUAGUAACGCGUGGGAACAUACCCUUUUCUAUGGAAUAGCCUUUGGAAACGAAGAGUAAUACCUUAUACGCCCUUUGGGGGAAAGAUUUAUCGGAGAAGGAUUAGCCCGCGUUAGAUUAGGUAGUUGGUGGGGUAAUGGCCUACCAAGCCUACGAUCUAUAGCUGGUUUGAGAGGAUGAUC